AAUUCGUAUUUCCUAACGAGAAUAAAAGGGAGUGUGCAAGAAAUGUUGGUAGAGGAAGUCAAAUGGCGCCAUCAUGCAAACGUACGUCUUUGUACUACGUGACGAAAUCAAGAAUGCGCGAAGCGAAGUUCAAGAUUCCGUAAAGAUUCUAUUUUAAAACGACCGCUCAUGGCCACAAGCUAAAUGACAACAGAUUAUUUUCCUUCCUGCCUUGUUUCCAGUACAGGUCUGUGGACACUGACUAGACCGGGUUUUCUCUUGCUACCAUAUUCAAUAAAAUUCAUGCGCUGAGACGGCGCCAAUAACAA
Molecule: long non-coding RNA, 308 nt
Organism: Actinia tenebrosa (Australian red waratah sea anemone)
Lineage: Eukaryota; Metazoa; Cnidaria; Anthozoa; Actiniaria; Actiniidae
Source: RefSeq, a predicted model, not a curated record